This 622-nucleotide ribosomal RNA is filed under the name Corallococcus sp. RNAcentral's name for it is "bacterial SSU rRNA". It matches the Rfam family "Bacterial small subunit ribosomal RNA", at positions 56 to 659 of the family's 1533-position model. The record is from RNAcentral. Lineage: Bacteria; Pseudomonadati; Myxococcota; Myxococcia; Myxococcales; Myxococcaceae.
UGCAGUCGAGCGCGAAUAGGGGCAACCCUUAGUAGAGCGGCGCACGGGUGCGUAACACGUGGAUAAUCUGCCUGGAUGCCUGGGAUAACCAGUCGAAAGAUUGGCUAAUACCGGAUAAGCCCACGGUCUCUUCGGAGACUGAGGGAAAAGGUGGCCUCUGUAUACAAGCUAUCACAACCAGAUGAGUCCGCGGCCCAUCAGCUAGUUGGCGGGGUAAUGGCCCACCAAGGCGACGACGGGUAGCUGGUCUGAGAGGACGAUCAGCCACACUGGAACUGAGACACGGUCCAGACUCCUACGGGAGGCAGCAGUGGGGAAUUUUGCGCAAUGGGCGAAAGCCUGACGCAGCAACGCCGCGUGUGUGAUGAAGGUCUUUGGAUUGUAAAGCACUUUCGACCGGGACGAAACCGUAAAGCCUAAUACGCUUUGCCUUGACGGUACCGGGAGAAGAAGCACCGGCUAACUCUGUGCCAGCAGCCGCGGUAAUACAGAGGGUGCAAGCGUUGUUCGGAAUUAUUGGGCGUAAAGCGCGUGUAGGCGGCUUUGCAAGUCGGGUGUGAAAGCCCUCAGCUCAACUGAGGAAGUGCGCCCGAAACUGCAGAGCUUGAGUGCCGGAGAGGGU